RNAcentral lists this ribosomal RNA (253 nucleotides) under uncultured bacterium. RNAcentral's name for it is "partial 16S ribosomal RNA". It matches the Rfam family "Bacterial small subunit ribosomal RNA", at positions 524 to 776 of the family's 1533-position model. The record is from RNAcentral.
UACGUAGGGUGCAAGCGUUGUCCGGAAUUAUUGGGCGUAAAGAGCGUGUAGGCGGCCCGAUUAGUCCGCUGUGAAAGUCCAGGGCUCAACCCUGGAAUGCCGGUGGAUACUGUCGGGCUAGAGUCCGGAAGGGGCGAGUGGAAUUCCUGGUGUAGCGGUGAAAUGCGCAGAUAUCAGGAAGAACACCGAUGGCGAAGGCAGCUCUCUGGGACGGUACUGACGCUGAGACGCGAAAGCGUGGGGAGCGAACAGG